This 255-nucleotide ribosomal RNA is filed under the name uncultured bacterium. RNAcentral describes it as "partial 16S ribosomal RNA". It matches the Rfam family "Bacterial small subunit ribosomal RNA", at positions 524 to 777 of the family's 1533-position model. The record is from RNAcentral.
UACGAAGGGGGCUAGCGUUGCUCGGAAUCACUGGGCGUAAAGGGCGCGUAGGCGGCGUUUUAAGUCGGGGGUGAAAGCCUGUGGCUCAACCACAGAAUGGCCUUCGAUACUGGGACGCUUGAGUAUGGUAGAGGUUGGUGGAACUGCGAGUGUAGAGGUGAAAUUCGUAGAUAUUCGCAAGAACACCGGUGGCGAAGGCGGCCAACUGGACCAUUACGUGACGCUGAGGUGCGAAAGCGUGGGGAGCAAACAGGG